Molecule: RNA transcript, 954 nt
Organism: Odobenus rosmarus divergens (Pacific walrus)
Lineage: Eukaryota; Metazoa; Chordata; Mammalia; Carnivora; Odobenidae
Gene name: DNA-(apurinic or apyrimidinic site) lyase-like
Exons: 1
Source: RefSeq, a predicted model, not a curated record
AUGCCGAAGCGUGGGAGAAAGGGAGCUGUGGCAGAAGACAGGGAAGAACCCAAGAUUGAACCAGAAGCCAAGAAGAGUAAGGUGGGAACAAAGAAAAACGAAAAAGUGGCAGGAGAGGGGCCAGUCCUGUAUGAGGACCCCCCAGAUCAGAAAACCUCGCCCAACGGUAAAUCGGCCACCCUCAGGAUCUGCUCCUGGAAUGUGGAUGGGCUUCGGGCCUGGAUUAAGAAGAAAGGUUUAGAUUGGGUAAAGGAAGAAGCCCCAGAUAUCCUCUGCCUCCAACAGACCAAAUGUUCGGAGAACAAACUACCAGCUGAACUUCAAGAGUUACCUGGACUAUCCCAUCAGUACUGGUCAGCCCCUUCAGACAAGGAAGGGUACUGUGGUGUGGGCCUGCUCUCCCACCAGUGCCCCCUCAAAGUCUCCUAUGGCACUGGUGAGGAGGAACAUGAUCAGGAAGGCCGAGUGAUCGUGGCUGAAUUUGACACGUUUGUGCUAGGAACAGCCUAUGUACCUAAUGCAGGCCGAGGUCUGGUACGCUUGGAGUACCGGCAGCGCUGGGAUGAAGCCUUUCGCAAGUUCCUGAAGGGUUUGGCUUCCCACAAGCCCCUUGUGCUAUGUGGGGACCUUAAUGUGGCUCAUGAAGAAAUCGACCUUCGCAACCCCAUGGGAAACAAAAAGAAUGCUGGCUUCACUCCACAAGAGCGUCAAGGCUUUGGGGAAUUACUAUAGGCCGUGCCACUGGCUGACAGUUUCCGGCACCUCUACCCCAACACAGCUUAUGCCUAUACCUUUUGGACCUACAUGAUGAAUGCUCAAUCCAAAAAUGUCGAUUGGUGCCUUGAUUACUUUUUGUUGUCUCACUCUCUGUUACCUGCAUUGUGUGAGAGCAAGAUCAGUCCCAAGGCCCUGGGCAGUGACCACUGUCCUAUCACCCUAUACUUAGCACCGUGA